Molecule: ribosomal RNA, 301 nt
Filed under: uncultured bacterium
Lineage: Bacteria
Description: partial 16S ribosomal RNA
Rfam family: Bacterial small subunit ribosomal RNA
Source: RNAcentral
CAGUAGCCGCGGGAAUACGAAGGGGGCUAGCGUUGUUCGGAUUUACUGGGCGUAAAGCGCACGUAGGCGGAUCGAUCAGUCAGGGGUGAAGUCCCAGAGCUCAACUCUGGAACUGCCUUUGAUACUGUCGAUCUGGAGUAUGGAAGAGGUGAGUGGAAUUCCGAGUGUAGAGGUGAAAUUCGUAGAUAUUCGGAGGAACACCAGUGGCGAAGGCGGCUCACUGGUCCAUUACUGACGCUGAGGUGCGAAAGCGUGGGAAGCAAACAGGAUUAGAUACCCCCGUAGUCCCUGUCUCUUAUAA